GAAUUUCCAAAAAGUCUUUAACAGAGGGUUAUUUUAUAUGGCUAUGCACUGGACAGAAAAUCUGCCUAUAUGCCCCACUGAUGAAGCAUGGGGAUCUUCUCCGUUGAACAAGGUGAAGUUUGGCACCUUGAAACCCUAGGAUUGAGGUAUUUGAUCAAUAUAAGCUAGAUAUGGCUUUCUGUAAGUGGGUCUCUCUCCUCCUCUGGCUUCAGGCUUCAUCAUCU
RNAcentral lists this long non-coding RNA (224 nucleotides) under Prunus persica (peach). RNAcentral's name for it is "long non-coding RNA (PPER_LNC005356)". Lineage: Eukaryota; Viridiplantae; Streptophyta; Magnoliopsida; Rosales; Rosaceae. The record is from RNAcentral.